RNAcentral lists this long non-coding RNA (875 nucleotides) under Struthio camelus australis. Its description in RNAcentral is "lncRNA (ENSSCUG00000016171.1)". The record is from RNAcentral. Lineage: Eukaryota; Metazoa; Chordata; Aves; Struthioniformes; Struthionidae.
AAAGGAGCUGUCACUUCACAUUACGAUGCUGAGCUAUGGCAGAAAGCCACCCUGCGUGGGCACGCUUUGAAGUGAAGGGCCAGGAAUGUUCUGGUGCUACCAUCCACUUACUCCGGGGAUCUCUUCAAUUUGGUAACUGCAUUGCAAGAGGCUUGGCUCGUUCUUCUGGUGUCUCCAGCGAAGGUCCUCGUGAGCCGCUCCGGCAGAGACAGGGACUGCUCAGCUGCUGUGCCGUGGCGGAUCCUGCAACCGGCGGUGCAGCCGUGGCCUCUAGCCUGGGCACGCUUCUGCCGUGAGCCAGGCCAUGGACUUUGGACAAGGGAAAAACUAAAGAGUGUUUCAGUGACAUGGAGAGAAGAAGGAGAAAAAGGUCCUGCGCGUGGGCUCAGACAGCCUGGAAGCGCCGGCAGCAGUCAGCAGGAGGAGAGUGUCGCCGGGAUGUGCCGCUGCAAGGCCGAGAUAACCCAGCUCCUCGUCUUGCCCUUGGCUGCUAGGGUCUGCGUGCAGGCGGAGCUCUCCUGGCGCGGGGCGCUGCACAACGCCAUGCGCAGCCGUACCCCGAUGGCCGAGCGGAGAAAUCUGCGCUGCCGUGCUGUACGCUCGGUACGAGACACGUUUCUGGAUCAGUAAUCUAUCAUAAUUUUGUUGGACAGAAGGGAGUAGCACCAGGUUUCUUUCUUCUGGAGGAGAGAGAUUUUGAUUAAUUUUUCCCCUUCUCUUCAGGGUUAGCACUUUGCAUUAUAUAUGUUUCAAGGCAGGGAAAUUGCUUGCUUGACAGCUGUGGAUAAAACAUGAAACUUUAGAUAAUGUUUUAAAUUCACCAGGGACAAACCAGCUUCAAUGUAAUUGAUAAAUUAAACCGAAUUCAAAUAUCA